Long non-coding RNA from Felis catus (domestic cat), 1652 nucleotides. RefSeq lists it as uncharacterized. Lineage: Eukaryota; Metazoa; Chordata; Mammalia; Carnivora; Felidae. The record is from RefSeq and is a predicted model, not a curated record. The transcript has 3 exons.
GCCUGUUAGCAAUAAGGCCCUCAGCUUCUUGCUUUGCAGCAGAAUGAGGUAAGAUCUAUCCUUCUCUUGCUGUUGUUAAAAACAUUUCAACAGUUAGUUCUUUUUCCCAGAAAACGCUGCAGGUUGGUUCCAGGUUAAAAAGCAAAAAUUACCACGAUUGAAUUUUACACUUGACUAUGCUUUGGCCAGGAUGCAUGAUAAGUUAAAGCAUACUGAGAGACUAUUUUUUUUUUAAGAGGGAAAACUUGAUAGAGGAUUGUAUUUCUAGAUUAGAGAGUGGGCACUGUAAUCUUUCUGACAUUGUAAACCUGAAGCUGGCUGCAGGGAAAAUAAACAUUACAACACCCGACACUUAAACAAUUGUACCUAUUCGGUUAAGUAACAAAAGCGUGAGGCACCUGGAAUCAGCAGCAUUUGUGCCUAAUGCCAGCAACAAUAUAAAGCAUUCAAGUGACAUUUGAUAAUGAGCAGACAGUGGAGGCAUUACACACGUCUUUAGAAGAAUCAGACUUCCUACCUUGAAAAGACAGAUGGAGGUUUCCACCACUGACCAAGGAUAUUGGACGAUUUUCAUCUCUUCCCUUCCCUCCGAUGACAUGAGGGUGUAUUGUUUUGGUCAUUCAAAGAGCUGAUCUUCACGACCUAGAUGAAAUCAGAUUGCUAUCCAGUGUAAUGAAUUCCCUAAAGAAUGGAAAGACACUUUUCCAGGGGAGAAAUCAGGAUAUCUUGCUUAAUAAAUUACUGCUAAAACUUGGAAAAAAUACAAAAAGAAAAUAAAUGGCUGUAGAUCUUUGUGAAACAGGCCAAGUAUACUUUCAGUAUGUUAUUCGAUAAUUUAUAAAGCAUGUUAAAUCACAUGUCAUAUGCUGGGUAAAAUAAUGUGUAUUAUGUUAUUGUACUCAUUCUAGAUUUGCAUUGAAAAGAACAUAUUAUCAGCAUGAAUGUUGCAAAUAAGCUAAAACGUAAGCCUUCAGGAUAGCUUGAGGAAUUUAUGUAGUUAGACAGCCUUGGAUUCUGAAUCUUUCUUUAGCCAUGUCCAGUCAUCAGAUAUCUAAAGGUUUGCUAUUGUUUUGUCCUUCACCUACAAAAAAAGAUGCGAUGAUGUUUAUCUGCAACUCUUAUAGCGGAUGGAAGAGUAGCAAAGAUCAAUAGGUUAAUACUUAUAAACCACAAUUCAGGUGACAAAAAGUCUGCAGAUGCAUAAAAUAAACAUUAUGCUAAUGAUAGACUAUUGAUCAUAAAAAAAUUACUCUGCUCCAGGGUAACACCUUUCUUUUUCUUUUGUUCUGUGGGUUGUACGUGUGUUAGUCUUAGAUAGAUAGUAAGUAAUAGUUAUAAUUAUCAUUUAAUAACCCCAAGACUGAUGUGAAGGCCAGAGGUCUCAAUAUUCUUUCUACAAGGAUUUUUUUUAUUACCAAAGUUGUAUACCUGAGACAUGAAUAAAUUAAAACCUUUCACACUUUGUCAGAUAAAGCAAAACAUAUACUAAGAUGACAAUAAACUCUGUUGUUCUAGCUUUUUGCUUAGGAAUCUACUAAAUAAAAUCAUUUUGAAAAUAAUUUAUAUUUUGUGUAGUGUUUUUAACUUUUUCAAAGAAUUUCCUAUUUUUGUAUAUUUAUGUUCAUUUGCUGCAUAUGAGAAUGUGGAUAUGU